CCCACAGGAAGUGACGGCAGAGGGGCUGCGGUGGAGGGGCGGGGCCUAGCGGAGCCGGGAGCAGGUAUCGCGAGAGCGCGAGAGGUGGCUCUGGACCUCGUGAGUCUUCCCGAGCCUCUGAAGAAGCUACCGUAAUAUUUACAAAAAUCACAACAUGCUUGUUACCUUUGAAUUUCCUGUGGAAGAUGACUUUUGCGGGGUUGAAAGAGCAUGAUGAUUCUCCGGGUACAAAGACUUCCGUGUGGCUGGGAAACUACCAGAAUGCACGCUGAUGAAAGUACAUUCAGGAAGUACAGAGACAGUCCUGUGGUCUGAAGCUUUCAUUUCUGAAGUCCCAUCAGUGUAUCUGCCUCUUCACAGAUGAGAAGGCUGUAUUAUCUUUGUUCAAGGUAAGCCCUUAAUGUUAUCUUUUUCAGUCAAAUCUAGCCACUUAACCACUUUGAGCACCG
RNAcentral lists this long non-coding RNA (449 nucleotides) under Bos indicus x Bos taurus (hybrid cattle). RNAcentral's name for it is "lncRNA (ENSBIXG00005012547.1)". The record is from RNAcentral. Lineage: Eukaryota; Metazoa; Chordata; Mammalia; Artiodactyla; Bovidae.